GUGCUUGCUUUGGCAGCACAUGUACUAAAUUUGUAAUGAUGGAGAAGAUUAACAUGGCCCUGUGCAAGGAUGACAUGCAAAUUUAUGAAGCAUUCCAUAUUUGG
Small nuclear RNA from Nycticebus coucang (slow loris), 104 nucleotides. The record is from RefSeq and is a predicted model, not a curated record. Lineage: Eukaryota; Metazoa; Chordata; Mammalia; Primates; Lorisidae.